This 366-nucleotide long non-coding RNA is filed under the name Medicago truncatula (barrel medic). Its description in RNAcentral is "long non-coding RNA (MTRU_LNC004978)". The record is from RNAcentral. Lineage: Eukaryota; Viridiplantae; Streptophyta; Magnoliopsida; Fabales; Fabaceae.
UUUAUCGUACAUUGUUUUUUAAUUGAAUUCAUGUCAAUAAUUUUUUUCACCGCAAUUUAUAACGAUAUUACAUUUUGCAUAUAUCACACGGGAGUGCGAUCUAAUUCAAACAAAACCUAUACACACAGAAACAGUAAAAAGAUAAAAUUAUAAGCAGACUCUAAAAAGCUAAGAACAUUUCUUAGAAUUUGUAACUGGUUUGCAUUUGUUUUCCAUUCCAUCUUGAUUUUCAGCAGGAAUUGAAGCUUUCUUCUUGGAAUCUUGAAAAAGUUUCCUUAGCUUCGUAAAUGAACUUCCUCUUUGUUUUAGAAUCCAUGACAUUAUUGAUCGAUGAGAAUAAUUCACAGAGAGAUGCAAGCGUUUUAU